Molecule: ribosomal RNA, 437 nt
Filed under: Parvimonas micra
Lineage: Bacteria; Bacillati; Bacillota; Tissierellia; Tissierellales; Peptoniphilaceae
Description: bacterial SSU rRNA
Rfam family: Bacterial small subunit ribosomal RNA
Source: RNAcentral
GAACGCUGGCGGCGUGCUUAACACAUGCAAGUCGAACGUGAUUUUUGUGGAAAUUCUUUCGGGAAUGGAAAUGAAAUGAAAGUGGCGAACGGGUGAGUAACACGUGAGCAACCUACCUUACACAGGGGGAUAGCCGUUGGAAACGACGAUUAAUACCGCAUGAGACCACAGAAUCGCAUGAUAUAGGGGUCAAAGAUUUAUCGGUGUAAGAAGGGCUCGCGUCUGAUUAGCUAGUUGGAAGGGUAAAGGCCUACCAAGGCGACGAUCAGUAGCCGGUCUGAGAGGAUGAACGGCCACAUUGGAACUGAGACACGGUCCAAACUCCUACGGGAGGCAGCAGUGGGGAAUAUUGCACAAUGGGGGGAACCCUGAUGCAGCGACGCCGCGUGAGCGAAGAAGGUUUUCGAAUCGUAAAGCUCUGUCCUAUGAGAAGAUAA